RNAcentral lists this transfer RNA (76 nucleotides) under Alphaproteobacteria bacterium. RNAcentral's name for it is "tRNA-Val". It matches the Rfam family "tRNA". From Rfam's summary of the family: Transfer RNA (tRNA) molecules are approximately 80 nucleotides in length. Their secondary structure includes four short double-helical elements and three loops (D, anti-codon, and T loops). Further hydrogen bonds mediate the characteristic L-shaped molecular structure. tRNAs have two regions of fundamental functional importance: the anti-codon, which is responsible for specific mRNA codon recognition, and the 3' end, to which the tRNAs corresponding amino acid is attached (by aminoacyl-tRNA synthetases). tRNAs cope with the degeneracy of the genetic code in two manners: having more than one tRNA (with a specific anti-codon) for a particular amino acid; and 'wobble' base-pairing, i.e. permitting non-standard base-pairing at the 3rd anti-codon position. Lineage: Bacteria; Pseudomonadati; Pseudomonadota; Alphaproteobacteria. RNAcentral also lists the same sequence under 2 other names. The record is from RNAcentral.
GGGAGAUUAGCUCAGUUGGUAGAGCGCUUCGUUUACACCGAAGAUGUCGGGAGUUCGAGUCUCUCAUCUCCCACCA